UGUGACUGAUACCAGUGUGAAGAGAAGGUCAUGUCUAAUAGUUAUCUAUGUGACUGAUACCAGUGUGAAGAGCUGGUCAUGUCUAAUAGUUAUCUAUGUGACUGAUACCAGUGUGAAGAGCUGGUCAUGUCUAAUAGUUAUCUAUGUGACUGAUACCAGUGUGAAGAGCUGGUCAUGUCUAAUAGUUAUCUAUGGGACUGAUACCAGUGUGGAAGAGCUGGUCAUGUCUAAUAGUUAUCAAUGGGACUGAUACCAGUGUGGAGAGCUGGUCACUUUUAAAAGAAUCACUGAGAGAGAAUCACAGGAGAGAAUCACAGGAGAGAAUCACUGAGAGAGAAUGACAGGAGAGAACCACUGAGAGAGAAUCACUGAGGACAGGGUAGAAUGACCAUCUACCUCUCAGCUUAUCAUCUAUGAUUUAUCCUCUUUGAAUAAACCUAUUUUCCUUCCCCUGAUUUGCUUAAAGAGUAAACAUCAACUGCUAACAAGUUCAUAAACCAUGUGCCAUGGAAUCGGUAGAACAUUGAAAAUCUCUUCCCAACUAGUUUGCAAUCUAUAUGGCACAGCUGUUAAGCUUUUGGUCAUUAAAUGAAACUGGUAAACUUUUGUAUUUAUCACAAUUUUCUUUAACCAUUUUUUGGUCUUUAAUGCCGAUAGACAAGAUCCACUUUUAUAGACAAUAUACAGACGCACAGACAGCACAUUGAACAAACAAAACAACCUUCACAAUAUGAACUGGAAUUACAUUGGUUUAUUAAUGAACUUUUUGUUGAAAACAAAUAUUUGAAUCGGAAGAGACUGUCACUGGCAACCAUGGCUACAAGGAGGGUAUACCAUAAUAUAAUAUUGUUGGGUCUGUUACUUUACCACCCUCCUCACGGAGAAAAUCACCAGAGAUAAUUACAACACAGAAAGUGUGAGAAAAACAAUUAAAUGCAUCAUUCUAACAUUGCCUAAAAUGAUGAAUAAGACACUAAUGAGAUAGACCUGCACAAUGCAGUUGUACAAUUUAUGGCAUAUAUGACGAUAAACGGUUGAGGAAAACACUCAUCUACUUUUCCCAACUUUAAGCAAAUCACCAGCGGCAACAGCUGGGCGAUGACCAAUCAUAUCGAGUGGUUUCCGUGACGAUGACCAAUCAUAUCGAGUGGUUCCCGUGACGUUGACCAAUCAUAUCGAGUGGUUCACGUGACGAUGAACGUUCAUAUCGAGUGGUUACCGUGACGAUGACCAAUCAUAUCGAGUGGUUCCCGUGACGUUGACCAAUCAUAUCGAGUGGUUCCCGUGACGAUGAACGUUCAUAUCGAGUGGUUACCGUGACGUUGACCAAUCAUAUCGAGUGGUUCCCGUGACGAUGACCAAUCAUAUCGAGUCGCUCCCGUGACGAAUCUGACGCGAUGAAACCCAGGACAGGAGACUUUCUCCAGCCAAGAUGGCUGACCAGAAAUACCAAUACGGAAGCAAAUGUAAUUAAUGAUAAAGUCAUAACGAUUCAUACUAAAAAUGUAGAGUUAAGAGGAAUGUGUAGAGACCAACGAUUAUGCAUUUUUCUGUCAUAAAGUUACUUACGAAAAUCGCUAUUCAGAAAGCUAGCAUUAUCAUUAGCCGCUAGCUAACAUUAGCCAGCUAGCUGACUAGCAUUAGCCAGCUAGCUGACUAGCUAACAUUAGCCAGCUAGCUGACUAGCUAACAUUAGCCAGCUAGCUGACUAGCUAACAUUAGCCAGCUAGCUGACUAGCUAGCUAGCUGAC
This is a long non-coding RNA of Oncorhynchus tshawytscha (Chinook salmon), 1751 nucleotides long. The record is from Ensembl. NCBI's taxonomy places the organism in Eukaryota, Metazoa, Chordata, Actinopteri, Salmoniformes, Salmonidae.